This 484-nucleotide ribosomal RNA is filed under the name uncultured bacterium. RNAcentral's name for it is "partial 16S ribosomal RNA". It matches the Rfam family "Bacterial small subunit ribosomal RNA", at positions 30 to 507 of the family's 1533-position model. The record is from RNAcentral.
UUGAACGCUGGCGACAUGCCUUACACAUGCAAGUCGAACGGCAGCACGGGUGCUUGCACCUGGUGGCGAGUGGCGAACGGGUGAGUAAUACAUCGGAACAUGUCCUGUAGUGGGGGAUAGCCCGGCGAAAGCCGGAUUAAUACCGCAUACGAUCUACGGAUGAAAGCGGGGGACCUUCGGGCCUCGCGCUAUAGGGUUGGCCGAUGGCUGAUUAGCUAGUUGGUGGGUAAAGGCCUACCAAGGCGACGAUCAGUAGCUGGUCUGAGAGGACGACCAGUCACACUGGGACUGAGACACGGCCCAGACUCCUACGGGAGGCAGCAGUGGGGAAUUUUGGACAAUGGGCGAAAGCCUGAUCCAGCAAUGCCGCGUGUGUGAAGAAGGCCUUCGGGUUGUAAAGCACUUUUGUCCGGAAAGAAAUCCUUGGCCCUAAUACGGUCGGGGGAUGACGGUACCGGAAGAAUAAGCACCGGCUAACUACGUG